GACGAACGCUGGCGGCGUGCUUAACACAUGCAAGUCGAACGGAAAGGCCCUGCUUUUGUGGGGUGCUCGAGUGGCGAACGGGUGAGUAACACGUGAGUAACCUGCCCUUGACUUUGGGAUAACUUCAGGAAACUGGGGCUAAUACCGGAUAGGAGCUCCUGCUGCAUGGUGGGGGUUGGAAAGUUUCGGCGGUUGGGGAUGGACUCGCGGCUUAUCAGCUUGUUGGUGGGGUAGUGGCUUACCAAGGCUUUGACGGGUAGCCGGCCUGAGAGGGUGACCGGCCACAUUGGGACUGAGAUACGGCCCAGACUCCUACGAGAGGCAGCAGUGGAGAAUAGUGCACAAUGGGCGGAAGCCUGAUGCGGCAACGCCGCGUGCGGGAUGACGGCCUUCGGGUUGUAAACCGCUUUCGCCUGUGACGAAGCGUGAGUGACGGUAAUGGGUAAAGAAGCACCGGCUAACUACGUG
This 468-nucleotide ribosomal RNA is filed under the name uncultured bacterium. Its description in RNAcentral is "partial 16S ribosomal RNA". It matches the Rfam family "Bacterial small subunit ribosomal RNA", at positions 28 to 507 of the family's 1533-position model. The record is from RNAcentral.